ACAAGGCAAGCUGGAAGGUGGGGCACAGGUCUUUUGCUUUUGAACUUCAUGACUCCUACUACAUAGAGGUUGAACUAUUUGGACAGCCUUGAAACACCUGUGAUGAUGUUUGUAUGUUCUGAAGGAGUGCUGGUGGACUGGAUGCUAUGAAACCAGAUGGAUCCUGCUCCAAAAUGAAUUUUGGCAGAGCUAAAACACUGUUGGCUAUUCUUUUGCUUGUCUUGACCGAAAAAAUUACAUGCUAUACCUACAUAGAAUCAAGAGUCAAAUCAAACAUAAAUCUUGCCAGUUUUUUACCAUACAACUCCCAUUUUAGGCACGACUAAGAGGGCAGCGAUCCAAGUACAACUAGCUAGUGGAUACCAACACAGGUCUUCUGGAGACGUGGCCCUGCAAGACCAGUGACACCUAGUCCUCUGUACACAGUACAAUGCCAGCCUGUCUCAUCUUUCAGCUUGUGCCACUGCAUAUGGUGCAUCGGACCCAGCUGACUGGCACCUAAUCAUUUCCUGCUACUGGCCAUCAGGUGAGCUGGCAGAGAACUUCACCAUGCGGCACUAUUUCUCCUGUUCCUGCAAACCUGAAUUCAUCAAAGCCCUUGACUACAUGGUCAACUAAAACCACAGGAGGUUGCUGGAUAAUUGYUCUCAGCUGCUUGCAUGGGUGGUGGAGAUCUGCAUCUGUCAACUACAGGAGGUUCUGCAUCUGCAGCAUUUGAAAGGAUGGCAUGACAUUAGCUUACAGAACUAUUGCCACACUCAAAUGACAUCUAUAACCACAWGGAGUCACGUAAACAACUUUGUAUUGGAAGAUACAACAAAGGACCACACUUGGAAGUUGCUGCAACUGGAAGAUGCUGAGUGAAUAGACAAGAGUGAUUUGAAUAGACAAGAGUGAUCCUUCUGCUGAACCCAUGGUUUGUGAAGUGUUUACUUUCUACAGAGCAAACCCUGGACUACCUACAGGAUUCUUGAAUAACACAACUGUCUGAUAGAAAUACUUGAACAAUGAUUUGCAUCAGAAAUGUGUGUGAACUUCAGAAGUAUCACUGGAGUCUUUCAAGAAUUAAAGAGAGAUUUAUGAUGAGGGCAAUAAGUGACAAUGCAAUAAAGCAUUUAAUAAACCAGUGUGAGCAGAAAUCCUAACAGUCAGAAAGAAUGGCAGUAUAAAACAUACCCUGAAGKGAACAUUACAAGCAGCAACUGCACAUAUGCAAACUGUGACCCAGGAUCAGCAAAACACUUAUGGAGGUGACAAUACUCCUGGGCUCAUAGCUGCACACAGAAAGGCCACAGUGACUCACUUUCUGCRCAAAUUAGAAGGUUUUAGCCAUGCCAGACAGCCUUUUCUCCAGUGAUUUUUACCAGCACUUACCAAUAAC
Molecule: long non-coding RNA, 1381 nt
Organism: Malurus melanocephalus (red-backed fairy wren)
Lineage: Eukaryota; Metazoa; Chordata; Aves; Passeriformes; Maluridae
Exons: 3
Source: RefSeq, a predicted model, not a curated record